UACAGAGGUCCCAAGCGUUGUUCGGAUUCACUGGGCGUAAAGGGUGCGUAGGCGGUCGGGUAAGUCUGAUGUGAAAUCUCACAGCUUAACUGUGAAACUGCAUUGGAUACUAUUCGGCUUGAGAGUUGGAGGGGGGACUGGAAUUCUUGGUGUAGCAGUGAAAUGCGUAGACAUCAAGAGGAACACCAGUGGCGAAGGCGAGUCCCUGGACAACUUCUGACGCUGAGGCACGAAAGCUAGGGGAGCAAACAGG
RNAcentral lists this ribosomal RNA (253 nucleotides) under uncultured bacterium. Its description in RNAcentral is "partial 16S ribosomal RNA". It matches the Rfam family "Bacterial small subunit ribosomal RNA", at positions 524 to 776 of the family's 1533-position model. The record is from RNAcentral.